This is a long non-coding RNA of Cottoperca gobio, 1627 nucleotides long. RefSeq lists it as uncharacterized. Lineage: Eukaryota; Metazoa; Chordata; Actinopteri; Perciformes; Bovichtidae. The transcript is spliced from 2 exons. The record is from RefSeq and is a predicted model, not a curated record.
AGAUAUGGUGGUAUGACCAGCAGGCAUGCCAACAUGAGUUCAAAUCAUGUCAAAGGGUCUUGGUCUCCUGUUCUCCUCAUCCAUAAAGCUGCUGGUCCAUGUGGCAGUGAUCUUUUAAAGUUCUUAGGAGGAUGGCCCUUCGACUUAUGAGAUCCUGCAUCCAGAGAAGGGGAAACAGAAGCAGACAUAUCAUGUGAACCUCUUGAAAUCCUGUGAGGAAAGAAGCAGCCCUACUUCCAUCACCUCAAUACUGGCAAGCCCAGUGAUUGAGGAUGAUAACUCUGAAGGUGUAGUGGAGGCCUGUAAACAACCUGCCAAUAAAGAUCUCUCUCACCUGGAUGGUAAGAAGCCAGUUGAAUUACAAGUUAUUUUUAAAACCUUUCCUCAGUUGUUGACACUAGAAACCAGGCCAUACACAUACAGAGCAUGUCAUCUGAGUCAAACCAGGUCAGAGUCCAGUAUGACAGGCAUGAUUCCGACUUCCAGAACAUUUAGUGAAGGCGGUGAAGGGACAAAUCCGCUUGAUAUUGGAGCUAGGACAGAUAGAACCGUCUGAAACCUACAGAACUCAACCUACAGAAAUGUGAGUGGGCCAAGCAGGAAACUUGUUACAUGGGGCAGUUGGGGAGAUGUGAAGUCCGGCCUCAGGUAAACAAAGUUGACGCCAUCCUGAACAGCCCCAAGCCCCGUACCAAGACCCAGAUCCGGUCAGAUCAUUCUUCAGUUUGGGGCACAUUAUUCUUCCUGGGGCAGGUAGAUGCAUCGGGUGGGGACUCGGCCAGGGUGACAAGGUGUUACCUGGAACUUCAAUCCUUUCAAGUUCUGUGAGCGGCGCAAAGCAGUGAAGGAAAACAUCACAGCGGACUACCUGUCAAGAAUGCCAAACAGUGACGCUGCAAUAGUGGAUGGUGGAAUUGUGACAAAGACUAACGGAUUGCGGAUGACACAUGGUAAACACAUUCAGUAAUAUACUCAUAAAGGGGCACCCAGACACACAUUGUUCCCCUGUGUCACUGCGGUGAGUGCACGUAGCACAAUAAAUCUACAAUUACAACUUUACACAUGUCCACUGCAGUAAUAUAGUUUGUUGAGAAAGGAAAACCAUACUAUGUACACUGUUUAGAUAAGUCGGAUCAGUUCAUUCAUACUCAUCUCACAAGAAAAUGUUUUGUCGAAGUGUUGUCAUAAUCUGACGUUCCUCUCCUCCGCAGUCCCUGGGUCUGAAACAGAUCCGAUGCAUAGUGUUGUUUUAAUUAGAGGCUACAGCAGUCACGUGCAGGUGUGCUGAUGGCUGAAGAUACCAUGUUUAACUGGAUCAAAGGUUAAGUUACCUUAUUUAUGAUAUUGUGUCAAGGUUUUGCGGUUCAUUUAAGGUUUUUGACUGGGAAAUGGUUAUUCCUAUAAUGUGUUGUGUUUGUUUAAUGUAAGAAUACACACACAAUAUAAUACUUUUUCUUAAAAAAUUACGACUCCUAAGAGAAUACAGAUAUGUGGGAUAUGUUUUUAAUAUGAAGAAAGUUUUGAACAUGAGCAGAAAUCUUUCCUGAAAUUCAUAUGAGCUAUUGAAGUCCAUAUGUCAGUGUUAAAAAAAACUGUUAUUGCAGGAUAAAAAUUAAUUUAACUUGAA